CUCUACUUGACUAGCUGAGAGGAGGUGCAUGGCCGUCGUCAGUUCGUACUGUGAAGCAUCCUGUUAAGUCAGGCAACGAGCGAGACCCACGCCAACAGUUGCCAGCUCGUCCUCCGGGGAUGGUGGGGACACUGUUGGGACCGCCUCUGCUAAAGAGGAGGAAGGAAUGGGCAACGGUAGGUCAGCAUGCCCCGAAUUAUCUGGGCUACACGCGGGCUACGAUGGGUGGGACAAUGGGUAUCGACACCGAAAGGUGAAGGCAAUCUCCUAAACCCAUCCGUAGUUCGGAUUGUGGGCUGCAACUCGCCCACAUGAAGCUGGAAUCUGUAGUAAUCGUGUCUCAAAAUGGCACGGUGAAUAUGUCCCUGCUCCUU
Molecule: ribosomal RNA, 374 nt
Filed under: uncultured Methanomicrobiales archaeon
Lineage: Archaea; Methanobacteriati; Methanobacteriota; Methanomicrobia; Methanomicrobiales
Description: bacterial SSU rRNA
Rfam family: Archaeal small subunit ribosomal RNA
Source: RNAcentral